AUUGAACGCUGGCGGCAGGCCUAACACAUGCAAGUCGAGCGGCAGCGGGAAAGUAGCUUGCUACUUUUGCCGGCGAGCGGCGGACGGGUGAGUAAUGCCUGGGAAAUUGCCCAGUCGAGGGGGAUAACAGUUGGAAACGACUGCUAAUACCGCAUACGCCCUACGGGGGAAAGCAGGGGACCUUCGGGCCUUGCGCGAUUGGAUAUGCCCAGGUGGGAUUAGCUUGUUGGUGAGGUAAUGGCUCACCAAGGCGACGAUCCCUAGCUGGUCUGAGAGGAUGAUCAGCCACACUGGAACUGAGACACGGUCCAGACUCCUACGGGAGGCAGCAGUGGGGAAUAUUGCACAAUGGGGGAAACCCUGAUGCAGCCAUGCCGCGUGUGUGAAGAAGGCCUUCGGGUUGUAAAGCACUUUCAGCGAGGAGGAAAGGUUGGUAGCUAAUAACUGCCAACUGUGACGUUACUCGCAGAAGAAGCA
RNAcentral lists this ribosomal RNA (477 nucleotides) under Aeromonas sp. R-17631. Its description in RNAcentral is "bacterial SSU rRNA". It matches the Rfam family "Bacterial small subunit ribosomal RNA", at positions 30 to 492 of the family's 1533-position model. Lineage: Bacteria; Pseudomonadati; Pseudomonadota; Gammaproteobacteria; Aeromonadales; Aeromonadaceae. The record is from RNAcentral. RNAcentral also lists the same sequence under 1 other name.